CCUAUCCGCCCAAGGCUCAUCACAUGUACAUUUUCAUCAAUAGAGAAAAGCACUAGCGGAAACAUACACAAGCGGCUUACACGAGGGUAAGCAGUAGCCACAAGUGAAAGAAAAAGGAAACUAAACAUUUACAAGUACUAUGAUUCAUUUUUGAUCAUAUACAUUGCAUCCAUUUACAUUCAUGAUUCUUGUACUUCAUUACACAUUGUAUCAUUUCUUUCUUACAUCACAUUUACCUCAAAAUAAGCUUUACAUUCUUUUCUCAACAUCACUAGUCAUCAAAUACAAAGAUGAACAAAGGGUACUCUACCAACAAAAUGUAAACCCAACUCAACUCUGGUGGCCUCUGUCUAAGGCGCGAUACCUUUACCUCGGUCGCUCGCCGGCUCGCUCGGUCCCGGCUCUGUGGAAAUAGUGGGGUGAGAAC
RNAcentral lists this long non-coding RNA (427 nucleotides) under Ananas comosus (pineapple). RNAcentral describes it as "long non-coding RNA (ACOM_LNC042165)". Lineage: Eukaryota; Viridiplantae; Streptophyta; Magnoliopsida; Poales; Bromeliaceae. The record is from RNAcentral.